Megalopta genalis is the source of this 2553-nucleotide non-coding RNA. The record is from RefSeq and is a predicted model, not a curated record. NCBI's taxonomy places the organism in Eukaryota, Metazoa, Arthropoda, Insecta, Hymenoptera, Halictidae.
CUCUCUCUCUCUCUCUCUCUCUCUCUCUUCCGCAUCGGCCACGAGCCGACUGCAGUCGGCUGAGUCUACGCUCUCGAACGUCACUCGCAGCACGUAGACCGAGCCGAGCUGUCAUCCUGCCGAGAUACCACCAUUGUGGCUCCUGAUACCAGGAUUGUGACACCCUCGCCGCCGUGACAGUCGCAAUGACAGUGUGAUACUACCAGUGACCCAACCUUGGACCAUACACCGCUGGGAUUCGCCGGGAUUCCUCAGGAUGCCGUCGUGCCAGCGGUCAGGCCACUCGUUCCAGGACGACAUGGAUCCUGGGAGGACUAUCGACCGACAGGACACGUGAAACUGCGCUGGGACGUCUCCAUCCGGUGCCCAAGCAGUAGGCAACCGGACCGACGCGCCGACACGUCGGGCCUUCAAGUGCUGCGGGAUCUUCGACCGGAGCUUUUGUCUUCGUCGCUGCACCUGUUCCAGGUCCAGGCGAUCUCUUCGGGGUUGACGAACAGGGAUCCCGAAGACUGCGACCUUGUUGCUCCUCUUCGAUAAACGUAUCCGAACUUGCUGACAGCUGCAAGGAUUACGCCGGGAUGUGCGAAGUUCCGACGUUUUUCCGGAUGUCCUUGACGUCCAAGAUGAUGCUGCGUCUCGACGAGGAAUGUGAAACCCCCUGUACGUAUACUGAAUGUAUCCUGAGUGUAUUCCUGUCCGGUAUACCUUCAGUAUACGUAACAGGAGGCUGCACCGAUCUACGCUGGCUGCCAUCGCCGACGCUCUUCCGGUUCACUUCGAUAAUCCUAGAUUAGAUUAAGAGGAUCGCCGUUCGUUAGCUACGACCGCGUUUCGCCGACACAUUGUUCGACGGCCUUGAGCCAAGUGUUCGGAGACAGUUCAGGAACUUGUUCGACGUUAUGAGAUUGUUCAUUGUAGACGGUUGAUGCGUGCUGUAUCCGCGGAACGUGUUGAUGUCGUGUGGUCGAAGCGAUGGAGAAUGAUAAUUAGGGUUUAAGGUAGAUUAAGGGUCGAGAACAAAUGGUACAAGUGUGCGGAGUUUCGAGAUAAUGUUAAACACGAGAUCGAUCGAUGUUUUGGAAUUGUUGAUACUUGUUCGUAGAAUCGAAGCGAGUCUAUCUAGUCGCUUGUUUAGGAUCCUUGGAUGAGAGAAGCGAGUAGAAAUAGAAUUGUGCGGCGAUUGAUUUGUAACCCGAUGUGUGUACUUGGAGAUUGUUGCGCCGAUUCCAUUCGAUUGGACUGUGUUUGUUAUUAAAUAAACGGAUUAACAUGCAAUGCCAAGUUAUAGUGAUUGUCUUUCGGUAGGUUGCCACACGUUGAUUGCGCGAUUACAAUUUUGUUUUGGGAGUCGACGUGACGCUCGUAAAUGGUAGAUGCCUUUUUAUUAGACGUGAUAUUUAUUUAAACGAAGUAGGCAACGAUUAUGGGGGUAUAUCUAUAGUUUUUAAGAAUUUUCUGCUUCGAUCUCGUUUGAUUUCUUUGCUAUAUACCGUUUUGAGUAUUGAAAUUCAGAUCGUCCAGAUAUUUGAACUAAAAAUCGUCGGAGAUUUGAAAAUUGGAAACAAUUAAAAUAGAUUUCAUACAUUUGUAUAAUUGUUUGUAGAUUUUAUUUCAAUUUAUUCCACGCUACUGGCAGCAAUUAAAGUAGAUCUAUGAUUGGAAGAUUAAACGUUAAUCUAACUCUCUGCUUGGUCUUCUGAUAAUUGUUAUUGGAAAUUAGAACUGGAAUUUGAAAUUAAAUACUAGACGCGUCAUUGUAGAAGAUAUCGAUGCUAUUACAAUCAAGGCUAAUCACAGAUUAUACAUUAACGAUGUAAUAUAAAGCAAACUUUAACAAUUUCUUGGAUUUAGGUUCGCAUUUUUCAAAUCAGACUCGCUGCAAAUAACAAAAAUGCGAUUGUUUCCGUAAAUUGUUUCUAUAAACCGAGCGUUUAUUAUUUUUAACGACAUGCGGAGCUUUCCUGAUAAUUCUUAGUUAAUUAAGUGAUCGUGUACCUCGAUUCAUGUAACUAGACGCAGAAAUAAACGAUAAUCGCAACGAGCUCUACACGUUCGUAUCACUGUCACUGUCAUAUUCGAUCUACUUACAACGAUACAAUCAAUUAAGAUUCAACCCCUCGCGAGUUCUGUAGGAUUCUUUAAAUACUUUUUCGACUUUUAACGAUCGCGGAGGUCAAUCCUUUUAAUUAAAGAAGCUCGAAUUUAACUUUUAAAGCGUGCAAUGUAUUUUCGUCGAGUCUUCGAACGACACCUGCUAUUGUAUUCAUUGAUCCCCCGAGCCUUUAACUUAUUUUGCGUUAUCGUACCAGGUAGAAACAUCUUAGGAUUUACAAACCUUCGAACUUACACCACUGGAAUUUAUAGCAACAAAUCAUUUGUAUCUUAGACAAUGCGGUCAAAAUACUGUAACAGUUAUUAAACUUGAUUCUAAUUUCAUAGAAGAAUCAAGGCUGAUUGUUAAUUCGAGUUCGUCGAUUGUUACCAGGAUAAAGCAAUGCGACCGUACAUAAAUUACAAUCGUGUUACAAAUAAAUGCACAAUCUACAAACA